Molecule: small nuclear RNA, 107 nt
Organism: Bufo gargarizans (Asiatic toad)
Lineage: Eukaryota; Metazoa; Chordata; Amphibia; Anura; Bufonidae
Source: RefSeq, a predicted model, not a curated record
GUGCUUGCUUCGGCAGCACAUAUAUUAAAAAUAGAACAAUACAGAGAAUAUUAGCAUGGCCCCUGUGCAAGGAUGACACACAAAUUCGUGAAGUAUUCCAUAUUUUU